GGGAAGGUGGGAAUCCUUCCGGCUGAAUAUCUAUGGUUUCCAGAGUAAAGCUGAUCUGCUCUGGGUAAGUCGGGGCCUAAGGAGAGGUCGCAAGACGUAUCCGAUGGACAACAGGUUUAGAUUCCUGUACCGCAUAUAAACAGAACUGUGGGGACGCAUGUGGAAAGCAUAAGCCGGGAAUGGAAAGACCGGUACAAGCGAGGUAGGUGUGUGACAGGCAAAUCCGUCACAUAAGCCGAAGACGUGAUGUGGAGCGAAAUUAAGUAGUGAAGUAUGUGAGCCAUGUGCCGAGAAAAGCCGCUAUUGUUUUAUAUGUGCCCGUACCGUAAACCGACACAGGUGGAUGAGGAGAGAAUCCUAAGGCCGACGGAAGAAGCAUUGUUAAGGAAUUCGGCAAAAUGACCCCGUAACUUCGGGAGAAGGGGUGCCCACUGAAUGGUGGGCCGCAGAGAAUAGGCUCAAGCAACUGUUUAGCAAAAACACAGGUCUAUGCGAAACCGAAAGGUGAAGUAUAUGGGCUGACGCCUGCCCGGUGCUGGAAGGUUAAGAGGAGAGGUUAGCGCAAGCGAAGCUUUGAAUUUAAGCCCCAGUAAACGGCGGCCGUAACUAUAACGGUCCUAAGGUAGCGAAAUUCCUUGUCGGGUAAGUUCCGACCCGCACGAAAGGCGUAAUGAUUUGAGCACUGUCUCGACAAUGCAUCCGGUGAAAUUGAAGUACCAGUGAAGAUGCUGGUUACCCGCGCCAGGACGGAAAGACCCCAUGGAGCUUUACUCCAGUUUGAUACUGGGAUUCGGUACUGCACGUACAGGAUAGGUGGGAGACUGAGAACUAUGGACGCCAGUCUGUAGGGAGUCGCUGUUGGGAUACCACCCCUGUAGUACUGGGUUUCUAACCAUCUGCCGUGAUCCGGCAGUGGGACAAUGUCAGGCGGGGAGUUUGACUGGGGCGGUCGCCUCCGAAAGGGUAUCGGAGGCGCUCAAAGGUUCCCUCAGAAUGGUCGGAAACCAUUUGAAGAGUGCAAAGGCAGAAGGGAGCUUGACUGCGACACCGACGGGUGGAGCAGGUACGAAAGUAGGACUUAGUGAUCCGGUGGUAUAAAGUGGGAUUGCCAUCGCUCAACGGAUAAAAGCUACCCUGGGAUAACAGGCUUAUCACUCCCAAGAGUUCACAUCGACGGAGUGGUUUGGCACCUCGAUGUCGGCUCAUCGCAUCCUGGGGCUGUAGCAGGUCCCAAGGGUUGGGCUGUUCGCCCAUUAAAGCGGUACGCGAGCUGGGUUCAGAACGUCGUGAGACAGUUCGGUCCCUAUCCGGCGCGGGCGGAGGAUAUUUGAGAGGAGCUGUCCUUAGUACGAGAGGACCGGGAUGGACGGACCACUGGUGUAUCUGUUGUCGACCAACGGCAUGGCAGAGUAGCCAAGUCUGGAAGGGAUAAACGCUGAAGGCAUCUAAGCGUGAAGCCCCCCUCAAGAUGAGAUAUCCCUCCUUCGGGAGUAAGACCCCUUGAAGACUACAAGGUAGAUAGGGCAGAGGUGGAAGUGUGGCAACACAUGGAGCUGACUGUUACUAAUAGGUCGAGGGCUUGAUC
RNAcentral lists this ribosomal RNA (1585 nucleotides) under metagenome. RNAcentral describes it as "bacterial LSU rRNA". It matches the Rfam family "Bacterial large subunit ribosomal RNA", at positions 1315 to 2925 of the family's 2925-position model. The record is from RNAcentral.